RNAcentral lists this ribosomal RNA (1241 nucleotides) under metagenome. RNAcentral describes it as "bacterial LSU rRNA". It matches the Rfam family "Bacterial large subunit ribosomal RNA", at positions 1564 to 2815 of the family's 2925-position model. The record is from RNAcentral.
UGAAUACGAGACGCUAAGGCGUCGAAGUAGUGUAUGUCAUACUUCCAAGAAAAGCUUGCACUGUCAUAGAUAAAAAACGCCUGUACCAUAACCGACACAGGUGGGUAGGUAGAGUAUACUAAGGGGCGCGAGAUAACUCUCUCUAAGGAACUCGGCAAAAUAACUCCGUAACUUCGGGAGAAGGAGUGCCUUAUUCGUAAGGUUGCAAUAACAAGAUCCAAGCAACUGUUUAUCAAAAACACAGGUCUCCGCUAAGUCGUAAGACGAUGUAUGGGGGCUGACGCCUGCCCAGUGCCAGAAGGUUAAAGAAGUUGGUUAGCAAUUGCGAAGCUGAUAACUGAAGCCCUGGUGAACGGCGGCCGUAACAAUAACGGUCCUAAGGUAGCGAAAUUCCUUGUCGGGUAAGUUCCGACCCGCACGAAAGGCGUAAUGAUUUGGAUACUGUCUCGGAGAGGGGCUCGGUGAAAUAGACUUGUCUGUGAAGAUGCGGACUACCUGCACCAGGACAGAAAGACCCUAUGAAGCUUUACUGUAACUUGAAAUUGAAAUUGGACUUUAUUCGCGCAGUAUAGGUGGGAGGCGUUGAUUAUAAUCUUGUGGGAUUAUUGGAGCCAUCAGUGAGAUACCACUCUUGUAAUGUUAGAUUUCUAACUUUGAAUCAUUAUCUGGUCAAAGAACAGUUUCAGGCGGGCAGUUUGACUGGGGCGGUCGCCUCCUAAACGGUAACGGAGGCGUACAAAGGUUUCCUCUGAACGGUUAGAAAUCGUAUCUAGAGUGUAAAGGCAUAAGGAAGCUUGACUGUGAGACCUACAAGUCGAGCAGGGACGAAAGUCGGUCUUAGUGAUCUGACGGUACUGAGUGGAAAGGCCGUCACUCAACGGAUAAAAGUUACUCUAGGAUAACAGGCUGAUCUCCCCCAAGAGUUCACAUCGACGGGGAGGUUUGGCACCUCGAUGUCGGCUCAUCGCAUCCUGGGGCGGUAGUACGUCCCAAGGGUUGGGCUGUUCGCCCAUGAAAGCGGUACGCGAGCUGGGUUCAGAACGUCGUGAGACGGUUCGGUCCAUAUCCGGUGUAGGCGUUAGAAUAUUGAGAGGAGCCUUCUUUAGUACGAGAGGACCGAGAAGGACAUACCUCUGGUGUACCAGUUAUCGUGCCAACGGUAAACGCUGGGUAGCUAUGUAUGGAGUGGAUAACCGCUGAAAGCAUCUAAGUGGGAAGCCCACCUCAAGAUAAGUAUUCUC